Molecule: RNA transcript, 7454 nt
Organism: Lagenorhynchus albirostris (white-beaked dolphin)
Lineage: Eukaryota; Metazoa; Chordata; Mammalia; Artiodactyla; Delphinidae
Gene: BLCAP
Gene name: BLCAP apoptosis inducing factor
Exons: 4
Source: RefSeq, a predicted model, not a curated record
GUCUGAAAGUUUUCAGAGAUGAGACAUUUGCGUUUCUCAGCUCCCAUGGCUUCUCGCCUGAAACUGUUUCCCUCCGUAGGAGAUUUGAGUAACCGAUCCCUUGACAAACAACUUAAGACAGCUGGAGCUCUAAUCAUCAAGAAUUUUUAUGGUGCUGCUUUUGAAGUAAAAAUAAAGUGAAACCCCUUAUGGCAUUUCAAGUGGAAAAAUAAAUAAGGUUGGCCGUCCACGUAGGGGGCUCCGGGCGAUGGCUGGAAGUGCGGGAGUGGCGUGGUUCUGUGCCGUCAAUGUGCACGUGCUCCCAUGGCCGUGACCUUUGAGACAAAGCUGGGUGGCUUGCCAGGGCCCUGUGCUGGGUGUCCACCUCUCCAUCUCUUCUCCUUCUAGAAAACAUAACAGGAACACUGCCUGUCCAAGGCACAGGGCUGUUGUCAGAGUUUAUUGUUGUAAAAGGGCUUGGGUUGUUUCAUAAAAGGUCAUCUGUUAUACCUAGAUUGGUAAUUUAUUGCUAUGAAGUUUUGUGUAGUUUUCUCCUGCCCUUUGCAAUCUCCGCAUCGUCAGUGUAUCCCUUUUUUCAUUCCCACCAUCGCCUAUCAGUGCUUUUCCUUUUCUUCGUCAAAACUUGCCAAAGGUUUGUUCAUUUUGAAGGUGUUUUCAGAGAACCAAGCUUACUGAUUAUGUCUGCUGGGUAUUUUCCCUAUCUGAUGCUUUUGUGUUUUUACCUCUGCAUUCUUUUGUUUCCUGCGUUUCUGGAUGUAUUUUGUGGUUCAGCAAAGUCUUGACAAGUUGAGGAGUGUUACACGUGGAAAGGAUGGUUUGUUCAGCAAACAUUGAGCCCCUGUACUGGGCUUGCUGGGGAUUUCAGGGGCAAGACCCAGGCCUGACUCUCCAGGAGCGCAUGACUCUAGCCUAGUGGGAAGACUUAAGAAAAUAGACAACUGCAAAUUCCAAAAACAAAACAAACAAACAAGGCUUUUGUGGCCACACUCUCCUGUGGAGGCACCUGGAUGAUAAAUGAAGCCAAGAUUAUUGCUUACUUUGCUCUCCCUCAGAAAGCAGCUUUCUGUCAUAGGUCAAGCUCACUAAAGAGUCACAAACAGGCCUCCCUGUGAAAGAUUUGUGGCCCUUUGCAGCAGGGAGCCUGCAGCCCACCCUUUCCAAGGUGAUGCCACAUCAGCGUUCUGUCUGCCCAGCACUGCUCUCCACCUGCCAAGGCAGCACCAGCAGCACCCUGCCCCCUCUGCCUGAAAUGCCUUUCAGGAAAAUGAGAAGUGGAUACCUCUUCUGGAAAAGAGCAGGGUACCAGGUCUUAGAAAACCACACCCUGCAAUUCUGCCAGUCGCCGCGGCUCCUAGUGUUGCUCGUGUGGUACCUGGUAACCACAAGAUCCCAUGAGGCCUAGGUCUGGGCUUCUUUAGGAACUGGUCUGUGCCCUGCUCUGUGCCUCAGUUUCCUUGUAGGUAAGAUGUGGGCUUUGGAGCAAACACAGUCUUCCUACCCCUAAUAUACUGGGAAUCCUUUCUCCGAGGAUCUUCGGGUCCUCCUGGAUGCAUUUGAGGGAAGGUGAUUGAGCUCUGGGAAGGUGGCACUGCCCUUGCAGGGCAGCCUGCAUAUGCCUUAUGCUUUAAUGAUUGUACCACAUGCGCCUAGAUAUGCCUCUGUCAGGAAGCCUUCCUGGACUCUUCCCUCUCCCUAGAGAUCCAGUUGCCUAGAUGACUUCACCCAGCCCUCUGUUGAGUGCUAGUGGUCAUGCAGACUUUCUCUUUCGCAGUGAUUGGGCUCCCCUGACCUCCCUAGGGGGCUUGCAUUGUUAUUUAAUCUGAGGUACUUGUCAGAAUCCUGUACAGGACCAGGCCUUGGGGUCACACAGUGGACAGGGUGGACCAUCUCUGCCAUCAGGGAGUCAUCCAAGCUAAUGGGAAAGGGGAUGACCUUGGGCAGAAAAUCCCACAGAUAGAUAUAAUAUGGACUGUGGCAGGUGCCCUAAGAGCAGUCUAGGGGGCACCUGGUGUGGGCUGGGGAGGAUUGAUGUUCAGGCUGAGACCUGAGGACAAGUGUAAAUGUUGGAGCAGUGAAAUAACAAAUGAGAUGUUAUUUCUCACCAUCUAAUCAAGCAUCUCUGCUUACAGCUGAAGAGACUGGGCUGAAAGCAAAAUGAAGGACCACCAGUAUCUGGCUGCCCUGGAGGGCUGUAUUGGGAGAUAGUAAGGGGGGUUGAAGGUUGACGUGUUGGUGGCGGUCCCCCAAACCCAGUCCUGAGUGAGAAGUCUUCAGUUUCCAACUGACUGGAACCAUCACAGACAAGGAUCUGAUGGGAGUAGGGGGUGACCCAAUCAGAACAGCAUUUAAUUUAAGGUGGGAUUUUUUUCAGUAGGGAACAGGAUAGCAUUUGAGCAGUAACAGCAGCAGGACUGUCAAGAAGGUCACUGCCCUGUCUAGAUCAUUGGGAAUGGGGAGGAGUAGAUCCAAGGAGCCAUGGUGGGUGAGGAGGGGAAGGCAGGAGAAAGAGCGGGCUGGGGAGGGAGGACAGAGAAAGAUGAGAGACUCCCAUUGAAUAGCUGCAGGAAGUGAGGUCAGGGAGGGGGCAUCCCUUGUGUUCAGUUGGCUGCGGGAGCCAGAACCCAGUCUCCUGGCGUCUAUUGCAAAGCUCACCCCUCAUCCCCCAGCCCCCUAAAGGGAGAAAGGGUCACUGCUCUGAAAAGAGGGAGGAACUAAGCAGUGCUGUCCUCAGCAAGCCAGGGAAGGUGAUCCUGACUAAAAGCCAGAAGAGGGGCAGAGUUUGGUCUGCCAGGCUUCAGGGAGAGAAUUCCAUAUCGCGAGAAAAACUUUGAUUAGAGCGGGCUCAAGAUGAAGGGGAGGAGCUGGCCGAGCAGCAGCUGGAGGCUUCAGACAGAAGCCCUGGGUCUCUCUCUCCGGCUCAGUGGGCGGGGACUUGGGGGACACUUUAGGACCGACAAACCUUGAGCGACAAGGUUUCAGGGAGCCCGGGCCCUAUGCCCCCACCUCUUUGACCACACGUCCCUGAGCCUCAGUUUCCUCACUGGCAAAAUAGAGAUGGUAACACCCCCUGUAGCCUGGCUCAAGGCCAAGUCUUCACAAAUGUUACUGCCUCUCUUCUGUGCCCUACCACCCUCCACCGACCCUUACUGGGCUCAGGCUUCAUAGGGAUGUGGUAUGAUCGUCCAGCUCUCCCGCUCAUUCAUUCCUGCAGGGAGCAUUGCCAGGCCCUGCGCCCAGCCCAGAACCUGAUAAGACCAUGCCCUCCGUGAGGAGCUCCUGCGGCAGCAGCGGGGAGGGCAUCGAGGCAGUCCUGCAGGCGCAUGAUCACUGUGCUGUGUCAUUGGGGCUGUGUGGAGUUAGGGAGAGACCUCAUUUGCGAGGCCGGAUGUCAGCACCUCAACAUGAAUUCCCUUAAUUAUUUUUUACAAGCCCCGAAAUGACAAGAUCCUAAAAGGGAGAGGAACACCUAGACGGUGCUCUUUCCUGAGAGGCCAGAACCCUGGCUUUGCAUCCCUGCUUGGCCACCAGCUCGCCUAGGACCGUCCAUGGAUUUUUCCCUCUUGGAAAGAAAUCACUGCCCAUUCGGCCUCCUCCUCAUGAGGAACUGGUGCAGGGAUGUUUGAGAGUGCCCUGUCAGAUACGGGGUAAGCACGAACCUUCUCCACAGACUAACCCUUUGAGCGGUUCUGGCCUCUCACCUCUUUUCCUGGACAACCUGUGGAGAGUCUACAGGGGGACGCCUCACUGCUUCUUCCGAAGCUAAACUCUGCCGAUCCCUGCCCCACACUGCUAGUGGCCGCCCUCUAGGGCAGGGCGGGGAGCUGAGCCCUGGGCCUGACCCCCACCCCCUUGCCACGUGACCUUGCUCUCCUCUGCUCAUUCUUCUCCAGGCACCGCCCCCCAACGCCCAUCUGUUCACCUAGGAGGGGUUGGCCCAGGAAGUCUUUAACGUUUCGAAAGCCAUCUUCUGUGAAAUAUCAGUGAACUUUAUCCUUGUUACUUCAGUCUUAAAGCUCUAGCAUCACCCUCAGAUGCCCUGGUACCCAGAACAGUAAUUGGACAAGGGGCAUGGUGACCCCAGGAUCUGGGUCAGUCCACAUCUUGGAGCAUGGCGGAACCGAUGGCUGCAGCCCCCUGGAAGCUGAACGUGGCAGGAACUGGCUGAGAGAUUUUUUUGCUGAUGGUGAAAUGUCCUGGCAGAGUCUAUGCAGCAACAGAGCAUCACCCUACAUCACAGAGGAGGGAACAGAAACUGGAGAAGCAAGUGCCUUUCUGACAUAGAGCACAAGUAGCAGGAGCUGGAUUCAACCUCAGUCCAUCCAGGAUCACAGUCCUUCUUCCCAGGACCAGGUUGAGCUGAGAGGAAGAAGAAGAGGGGUCUGUGAGGUCCAGGUGGAGACGCUCCGCAGGCACGUGCGGAAGGUUGGAGACGUGAUGUGUACAAGCUGGAGGUGUUGCUCUCAGCUUAGUGCGCCCUGUGGGACUCCUGGUGUAGCCGACGUGCUCUGCCGCAGUGUUCCUUGCAGCUGGCGACUGGCGGCCUUAGGAUUACACCAUGUUUGAUUUUCUUGUUUCCUAUUGAUUGACUAUUAAAAUGUUUCCAGUGUCGUUCCAUUAAGACAAACCUGUAAGAGCAUCUUAUAAUUGUUCAUUUUGCACAUGUACAAGUAUUUCUCUGGGAUAGAUACUUAGAAAUGGAACUGAUGGGUCAUAAGGUAUUCAUAUCUUAAAUUCUAAUAGAAAUUUCUGAAGUGUUCUCCAAAUUGCCUUCUAAUGUAAUCUCCUGCUAGCAGCGUGUGUGUGUCCAUUUCCCCAGACCACGUCCAAGUUUUCCAUUUUUAACCAGUUUGAUGAGUGAGAAAUAGUAUCUUGCUUUAGUUGGCAUUUUUCUGAAUUACCUGCAAGACUGAAGUCUUCAUGUGUUUACUGUCCAUUUUCAUUUCCUCCUCUGGAUUGCUUGUGCAUAUCCUUUGCCUGUUUCUUUUUUUUUUUUUAAGGUUUUUUUUGUCUUUUUGCUAUUGAUUUUUAAGAGUUUUUUAUUUGAAUAUUAAUACUUUGUCAUGUAUAUUGCAGAUGUUUUCUACAUUGAGAUUUGUGUCAUUUAAUUGUGUAGUAUCUUUUUGUCUUAGAGAAAUUUUAACUUUGAUACGAUCAAAUUUGUCAAUCUUACUUUUAGGCCAUUUUUACAGUCUUAUUUAAGAAAGUAUUCCCUGUAUCAAGGUCAUAAGUAUUUACUGUAUUUCCUUCUCUAAAAUUUAUAGUUUCUGUAUACAUACAUAUUUAAGCCUUUAUACUAUAUACAAAAAAUAAAUUCCAUAUGUACAAAUCUUAGGAUCUAACUUUAAUUCCUCCCCAUUCCCCCCAAAUGGACAGGUAAUUGUCCCAACACCAUUUAUGGAAUAAUAUAUCAUUUCUCCGCUGAUUUAGAACUGCCUCCUCUGCCUGACACUGAAUUCCAAUGCGGGUCUGUGUCAGAGCUCUUUCUGGUCCACUGAUCUAUUUGUCUACUCCUGAGCUUGCUAAUAUGCUUUGCUAACUGGCAGGACAAAUCCCACCCUCUCUGUUGUUUUUGUAAAAUUGCCUUGAUCAUCCUUGCAUAUUUGUCGCACCACAUGAAUUUUAAAAUAGCCUGUCGAGUCUCAGGAAAAAUUCUGCUGGGAUUUUAAUUGGGAUCACAUUGAGUUUUAGGUAAGUUUGAAGAAAAUUGGCACCUUUAUCAUAUUUGAGUCUUCUGCCAGUGCUCGUUGCUAUUAUCUCUCAGUUCCGGUCACUCUCAUGUCUUUCAGGGAAGUUUUAUGGUUUUCUCUAAAGUCUUGCAUAUUUCUUGAUAAAUUUAUUCCUAGGUUUAUUACAGGUUUUGUUGUCAACUGUGAAUAGGGUCUCCUCUCCCUUUAUUUGUUUGGCCCUUGUUUUUCCAUAUUUCAUUUCAACCUGUUUACCGAUCAGUGGACUUGACUUGCAGACACACACGCAAAGUGAACAUUCUUCCUCCGGGGGCACAAAUAUGCAAGCACCACCAAACACAGAGAGCCGGCGUAAUUGGCUGGAAACAAAUUAGAGUAUUUUCAGAUUAUACUUUAAUUAACAAAGUAAAGCAUGAAUACAUUUUCCUUUUGAAAGUCGGACAAUAUGAAUGUAACUAAAGUUUCCUUUGGCCACCCUCUGAAAUCCUAGUUUCCCUCCCUCACCCGCAGUUUUAUGUGUCUCCUUCCAUAGAAAUGUAAGUAUCAAUGGAGGUAUUUUGAAUGAAUCAUCCCACUCUAUAGAGAUUUUACUGUAAGCUGUGUUUUUUCACUCCAUCUUAUAUUUCUAAGAUAUACUGAUACAAAUAGCUCUUGCCAGUUCCUUUUAGUAGCUGUGUUAUAUUCAUUCCCAUGAAUGUGCUACAUUUUUCCUUCCUAAGAUCCAUGGACAUUUAGUUGCAUCCUUUUCUUUCCUCCAUCAUAAGCAGUGCCACAGAAAAUAGCCUUACACGUGCCUCUUCUGUAAUGUUUCUCUAGGAUGGUGAUUGAGAAGUGGAAUUUGUGUUCUCAGGGUUUCCACAUUUUUAGUUUUAGAUGUUACCAAAGUGUCCUCCAUAAUUUCUGUACCAUUUAAACUUCUAGCCAGAGGAUAUGGGAGGACUCCUCACACCAUAAGUGAUUGUUUUAAAUGUUUGCCAAUUUGCUGGGUGAAAAAUUGAAUAAUUUUUUAAAGUUUAUACAUACCUGUUUGCUAGUGAGAUUUUCAUAUGUGUUUUAGGCAUUUGUAUUUUCUCUUUUCUGAAUGAUCUGUUUAUUUUUGCUCAUUUAAAAAAUUAGGUUGUUUGUCUUUAUCUUAUUGAUUUUUGAGUUUCCUAGUGUAAUCUGGAUAUUAAUCUUUUGUGUGUGUGUGUGUGUGUGUGUGUAUAUGUAUAUAUAUAUAUGGCACAUGUUUUCUUCCAGCUUGUCUGUUGCCUUCAAAUUUUGUAGGGGCUUUUGUUAGACAGAAGUUAUCAAUUUUGACAUAAUCAAAUUUAUCCAUCUUUUCCUUUAUUCCUUGUAUUUAUAUAUCAUGUUUAGGCCUUUCUUACUCCUAAGGUUUAAGUAUACUCUGUAUUCCUUUCUAGUAAUUUUGUUUUUAUUUGGGUCUUUUUUUUUGUCGGGGGGUAUGUGGGCCCCUCACUGUUGUGGCCUCUCCCGUUGCGGAGCACAGGCUCCGGACACGCAGGCUCAGCGGCCAUGGCUCACGGGCCCAGGCGCUCCGUGGCAUGUGGGAUCUUCCUGGGCCGGGGCAUGAACCCGUGUCCCCUGCAUCGGCAGGCGGACUCUCAACCACUGCGCCACCAGGGAAGCCCUAUUUGGGUCUUUAAUGCAGCUGGAAUGUAUGUUUAUGAUUGAAAUGAGAUAUGAUCUAAUCUUUCUGCAAACAUACAGCUGAUUAUUGCAACAUGACGGACUGUCUAGUUCCUUCUCUCUCCACUGAUCUGAAGUGAA